UAGGGAAUCUUCGGCAAUGGACGGAAGUCUGACCGAGCAACGCCGCGUGAGUGAAGAAGGUUUUCGGAUCGUAAAGCUCUGUUGUUAGAGAAGAACGUUGGUAGGAGUGGAAAAUCUACCAAGUGACGGUAACUAACCAGAAAGGGACGGCUAACUACGUGCCAGCAGCCGCGGUAAUACGUAGGUCCCGAGCGUUGUCCGGAUUUAUUGGGCGUAAAGCGAGCGCAGGCGGUUCUUUAAGUCUGAAGUUAAAGGCAGUGGCUUAACCAUUGUACGCUUUGGAAACUGGAGGACUUGAGUGCAGAAGGGGAGAGUGGAAUUCCAUGUGUAGCGGUGAAAUGCGUAGAUAUAUGGAGAAAAACCGGUAGCGAAAGCGGCUCUCUGGACAGUAACUGACGCUGAGGCUCGAAAGCGUGGGGAGCAAACAGG
RNAcentral lists this ribosomal RNA (429 nucleotides) under Bacillota bacterium. Its description in RNAcentral is "Firmicutes bacterium partial 16S ribosomal RNA". It matches the Rfam family "Bacterial small subunit ribosomal RNA", at positions 355 to 776 of the family's 1533-position model. Lineage: Bacteria; Bacillati; Bacillota. The record is from RNAcentral.